RNAcentral lists this ribosomal RNA (305 nucleotides) under uncultured bacterium. Its description in RNAcentral is "bacterial SSU rRNA". It matches the Rfam family "Bacterial small subunit ribosomal RNA", at positions 337 to 660 of the family's 1533-position model. The record is from RNAcentral.
UCCUACGGGACGCAGCAGUGGGGAAUAUUGCACAAUGGGGGGAACCCUGAUGCAGCGACGCCGCGUGAAGGAAGAAGUAUCUCGGUAUGUAAACUUCUAUCAGCAGGGAAGAAAAUGACGGUACCUGACUAAGAAGCCCCGGCUAACUACGUGCCAGCAGCCGCGGUAAUACGUAGGGGGCAAGCGUUAUCCGGAUUUACUGGGUGUAAAGGGUGCGUAGGCGGCUUCUUAAGUCUGUAGUCUAAGCCCGGAGCUUAACUCCGGUUCGCUACAGAAACUGAUUAGCUUGAGUAUGGUAGAGGCAA